Long non-coding RNA from Pogonomyrmex barbatus (red harvester ant), 289 nucleotides. NCBI's taxonomy places the organism in Eukaryota, Metazoa, Arthropoda, Insecta, Hymenoptera, Formicidae. The record is from RefSeq and is a predicted model, not a curated record.
AUAGGAAUCGGCGCAAUACCAGCCAAGAUAAUAACGACGGCAAUGCCCAGCACCCAGCCAGGAUAAUUCGUAGAUAUAUAAUUUUUUUACACACCAAUGCCGCGUUCCAUGCCGAAUAUUGCGGUUUUUUGAUGAACAUAGAGACAAUGCUGAAUAGGAGGAUGCAAACCAUUAUAAUGGGAGCGAGAAAUCGCCACGUAAAUUGCCAAGAAGAGAAUCGCAAAUAUGGAAUAGUCGCGUUACUCACUUUUCGUGGCCAUAAACGAAGAUAACGGAGAUCAUUUCCAUC